UUCAACCUUCAAACCUGUGGAAGCGAACCGUGCUUCGGGGCUCUGGCCCCGCAUCUAUGCAGUAAAGUGUUUGUCUGAUUAAAAGCAAGAAUUAAAACUUUCAACAAAGGAUCUCUUGGCUCUCGCAUCGAUGAAGAACGCAGCGAAGCGCGAAAUGUAGUGUGAAUCGCAGACCAUUGUGAAUCAUCGAAUCUUUGAACGCACAUUGCGCCUCCCCUAACCGGGAGGCAUGCCUGUCUGAGCGUCAUUUAAACCAUAGCCCCUUUAUGGGUCUGUCUUGGGCCUCGCCCGUCGGCGUCGCCUCGAAGUCAUCGGUCUAAGAGCGGACGAGAUCCUUUGGGACUUACCGUUCUCGACCUUAAACCUCNGACUUGACCUCAGAUCAGGUAGGGCU
This 394-nucleotide ribosomal RNA is filed under the name uncultured fungus. Its description in RNAcentral is "eukaryotic LSU rRNA". The stretch from base 96 to 247 matches the Rfam family "5.8S ribosomal RNA". The record is from RNAcentral. Lineage: Eukaryota; Fungi.